Molecule: unclassified non-coding RNA, 248 nt
Filed under: Hevea brasiliensis (rubber tree)
Lineage: Eukaryota; Viridiplantae; Streptophyta; Magnoliopsida; Malpighiales; Euphorbiaceae
Source: RNAcentral
GUGAUUUCCUCAAGGAGGUUUCGAUGAUCGGUGAUGUUUCCGAUAAGGUCUCCAAACUUGACGGUUUUGUUAAGAGAUUGGAAGAGGAAAUGAGCAAGAUCGAUGCGUUUAAGCGCGAGCUCCCUCUUUGCAUGCUUCUCUUGAAUGAUGCAAUUCUACUUUUGAAGGCAGAGUCAAUACAAUGUGCGGCAUCAAAUAAUCCACCAUUUUUAGAAGAAUUCAUCCCAUUGAAGAAAAACUGUCAUGAU